CACGCAUCCUGCCGGUACCCAUCUACAGCAUACAGUAAAAAAAAAAAAAAAAAAAAAAAAA
Molecule: non-coding RNA, 61 nt
Filed under: Prorocentrum micans
Lineage: Eukaryota; Dinophyceae; Prorocentrales; Prorocentraceae
Source: RNAcentral